AAGGUUGUUGAAUAAUGCUUUUAAUAUGAUAGAGAGCAACAAGGUAGUUUAUAGGUUAAUUGACAUCACCACAGUUUAAAGUCAAAGUGAAUAAUUGUAAAAGUUGUAGAAACCAAAGUUGAAGAAAGGCGAAAAGCACCAUUAAGACCAACAAAUGACGUAGGAUUCGCGGAGUGGCGGUUCGACAAGACAGUGGUAGUCGUGUUGAGUUCGCGGUGGUAAAGGGAGGCGCCAUAACCACGGUGGUGGCGGAAAAAACCACGGCCGAUGAUGGAGCUGCAAUGGCAGAACCAAUGGUUCAUAGUGCG
This 308-nucleotide long non-coding RNA is filed under the name Lathyrus oleraceus (garden pea). RNAcentral describes it as "Pisum sativum (pea) long non-coding RNA (PSAT_LNC036760)". Lineage: Eukaryota; Viridiplantae; Streptophyta; Magnoliopsida; Fabales; Fabaceae. The record is from RNAcentral.